This 1121-nucleotide unclassified non-coding RNA is filed under the name Hevea brasiliensis (rubber tree). The record is from RNAcentral. Lineage: Eukaryota; Viridiplantae; Streptophyta; Magnoliopsida; Malpighiales; Euphorbiaceae.
CAAAGCGCCAUAAAAAGAGUAUUCAUGAAAAUUCCAGUAUUGUGACUUCGCACGCAACAUCUACUCAGCCAGCCUCCAGUCGCCAUUGUUAUGCCCGGUAUGGAAGCUGAGAACUCAAACGCCUCCCGAGCUGAAGAACUCAAGCAACUCGCAAAUGAAGCAUUCAAAGGGCAUAAGUAUUCGCAAGCUAUUGAUCUGUACACACAAGCGAUUGAGUUGAACGGUGAGAAUGCGGUGUACUAUGCUAACCGUGCGUUUGCUCACACCAAAUUGGAGGAAUAUGGAAGCGCAAUACAGGAUGGAACUAGAGCUAUUGAAAUUGACCCUAGAUAUUCAAAGGGUUAUUAUAGGAGAGGAGCUGCAUAUUUGGCAAUGGGGAAGUUCAAAGAUGCACUCAAGGAUUUUCAACAGGUCAAGAAAUUAUGUCCAAACGACCCAGAUGCUACCAAAAAAUUGAAGGAAUGUGAGAAAGCUGUCAUGAAGCUAAAAUUUGAAGAAGCUAUUUCUGUCCCAGAAUCUCAGAGGCGUUCAGUAGCUGACUCUAUUGAUUAUCGUUCUGUAGAGGUGGAGCCUCAAUAUGCUGGUGCAAGAAUAGAGGGAGAUGUUGUAACAUUAGAUUUUGUGAAGAAGAUGCUGGAUGACUUCAAAAACCAGAAGAACUUGCAUAAGAGGUAUGCCUACCAAAUAGUACUGCAAACAAGAGAAAUGUUGCGAGCACUGCCCUCCCUUGUUGACAUUGUUGUUCCCGAAGGGAAGCACUUCACUGUAUGUGGUGAUGUACAUGGUCAGUUUUAUGACCUCCUAAAUAUUUUCGAGCUCAAUGGGCUUCCAUCAGAAGACAAUCCGUAUCUGUUCAAUGGUGAUUUUGUUGAUAGAGGGUCUUUCUCUCUAGAGGUCAUAUUGACAUUAUUUGCCUUCAAGUGCAUGUGUCCAUCAGCUAUACACCUGGCGAGAGGAAAUCACGAAAGCAAGAGCAUGAACAAAAUAUAUGGGUUUGAGGGCGAGGUCAGAUCCAAGUUAAGUGAAAUAUUUGUGGAACUCUUUGCAGAAGUGUUCUGUUGCUUACCUUUGGCCCAUGUCAUAAAUGAGAAAGUCUUUGUAGUACAUGGAGGUCUUUUUAG